Molecule: ribosomal RNA, 253 nt
Filed under: uncultured bacterium
Lineage: Bacteria
Description: partial 16S ribosomal RNA
Rfam family: Bacterial small subunit ribosomal RNA
Source: RNAcentral
UACGUAGGGUGCGAGCGUUAAUCGGAAUUACUGGGCGUAAAGCGUGCGCAGGCGGUUGUGCAAGACAGAUGUGAAAUCCCCGGGCUUAACCUGGGAACUGCCUUUGAUACAGCACGUCUUGAGUCCGGAAGAGGUGGGUGGAAUUCCUAGUGUAGAGGUGAAAUUCGUAGAUAUUAGGAAGAGCACCGGUGGCGAAGGCGGCCCACUGGUCCGGUACUGACGCUGAGGUGCGAAAGCGUGGGGAGCAAACAGG